CAGUAGCCGCGGUAAUACGGAGGGAGCUAGCGUUAUUCGGAAUUACUGGGCGUAAAGCGCACGUAGGCGGCUUUGUAAGUUAGAGGUGAAAGCCUGGAGCUCAACUCCAGAAUUGCCUUUAAGACUGCAUCGCUUGAAUCCAGGAGAGGUGAGUGGAAUUCCGAGUGUAGAGGUGAAAUUCGUAGAUAUUCGGAAGAACACCAGUGGCGAAGGCGGCUCACUGGACUGGUAUUGACGCUGAGGUGCGAAAGCGUGGGGAGCAAACAGGAUUAGAUACCCCCGUAGUCCCUGUCUCUUAUAC
RNAcentral lists this ribosomal RNA (301 nucleotides) under uncultured bacterium. RNAcentral's name for it is "partial 16S ribosomal RNA". It matches the Rfam family "Bacterial small subunit ribosomal RNA", at positions 509 to 807 of the family's 1533-position model. The record is from RNAcentral.